This 260-nucleotide ribosomal RNA is filed under the name uncultured bacterium. Its description in RNAcentral is "partial 16S ribosomal RNA". It matches the Rfam family "Bacterial small subunit ribosomal RNA", at positions 336 to 588 of the family's 1533-position model. The record is from RNAcentral.
UUCCUACGGGAGGCAGCAGUGGGGAAUAUUGCGCAAUGGGCGAAAGCCUGACGCAGCGACGCCGCGUGAGGGAUGAAGGUCUUCGGAUCGUAAACCUCUGUCAGCAGGGAAGAACGGUCACUGUGUUCAUCAGCAGUGAAUUGCCGGUACCUGCAAAGGAAGCACCGGCUCACUCCGUGCCAGCAGCCGCGGUAAUACGGCGUGUGCGAGCGUUCCUCGGAAUUACUGGUCGUCACGCGCUCGUAGGCGGUCUGUCACGU